Molecule: ribosomal RNA, 678 nt
Filed under: uncultured Bacteroidales bacterium
Lineage: Bacteria; Pseudomonadati; Bacteroidota; Bacteroidia; Bacteroidales
Description: bacterial SSU rRNA
Rfam family: Bacterial small subunit ribosomal RNA
Source: RNAcentral
GGGGCAGCAUGGUCUUAGCUUGCUAAGGCCGAUGGCGACCGGCGCACGGGUGAGUAACACGUAUCCAACCUGCCGUCUACUCUUGGACAGCCUUCUGAAAGGAAGAUUAAUACAAGAUGGCAUCAUGAGUCCGCAUGUUCACAUGAUUAAAGGUAUUCCGGUAGACGAUGGGGAUGCGUUCCAUUAGAUAGUAGGCGGGGUAACGGCCCACCUAGUCUUCGAUGGAUAGGGGUUCUGAGAGGAAGGUCCCCCACAUUGGAACUGAGACACGGUCCAAACUCCUACGGGAGGCAGCAGUGAGGAAUAUUGGUCAAUGGGCGAGAGCCUGAACCAGCCAAGUAGCGUGAAGGAUGACUGCCCUAUGGGUUGUAAACUUCUUUUAUAAAGGAAUAAAGUCGGGUAUGCAUACCCGUUUGCAUGUACUUUAUGAAUAAGGAUCGGCUAACUCCGUGCCAGCAGCCGCGGUAAUACGGAGGAUCCGAGCGUUAUCCGGAUUUAUUGGGUUUAAAGGGAGCGUAGAUGGAUGUUUAAGUCAGUUGUGAAAGUUUGCGGCUCAACCGUAAAAUUGCAGUUGAUACUGGAUAUCUUGAGUGCAGUUGAGGCAGGCGGAAUUCGUGGUGUAGCGGUGAAAUGCUUAGAUAUCACGAAGAACUCCGAUUGCGAAGGCAGCCUGCUAAG